Molecule: unclassified non-coding RNA, 327 nt
Filed under: plant metagenome
Description: partial contains 5.8S ribosomal RNA, internal transcribed spacer 2, and large subunit ribosomal RNA
Rfam family: 5.8S ribosomal RNA (bases 1-105)
Source: RNAcentral
GAAAUGCGAUAAUUAAUGUGAAUUGCAGAAUUCAGUGAAUCAUCGAGUCUUUGAACGCACAUUGUGCCCCCUGGUAUUCCGGGGGGCAUGCCUGUCCGAGCGUCAUUGCUGCCCUCAAGCACGGCUUGUGUGAUGGGCCCUCCCGCGUCUUGGUCGUCAAGACGGGCCCGAAAUGCAGUGGCGGCUUCGCGGUUAUCCGAUCAGCCAGAGCGUAUGGGGACUCUCUCUCUUGUCACACGCCCGCGGUGCGGACCGACGCCUGUCGACCUUUAUUCAUCUUCUCUCGGUUGACCUCGGAUCAGGUAGGGAUACCCGCUGAACUUAAGC